CAGACACCUACGGGUGGCAGCAGUCGAGAAUAAUUCACAAUGGACGAAAGUCUGAUGGUGCAACGCCGCGUGGAGGAUGAAGGUCUUCGGAUUGUAAACUCCUGUCAUUUGAGAGCAAGACCUGGCGGUGAAUAGCCGACAGGGUUGAUAGUAUCGAAAGAGGAAGGGACGGCUAACUUCGUGCCAGCAGCCGCGGUAAUACGAAGGUCCCGAGCGUUGUUCGGAAUCACUGGGCGUAAAGGGAGCGUAGGCGGCAAAGGUAAGUCAGGUGUGAAAUCCCGGGGCUCAACCCCGGAACUGCACCCGAUACUGCUUUGCUAGAGUAAUGGAGGGGUAGCUGGAAUUCUCGGUGUAGCAGUGAAAUGCGUGGAUAUCGAGAGGAACACUUGUGGCGAAGGCGAGCUACUGGACAUUGACUGACGCUGAGGCUCGAAGGCCAGGGUAGCGAAAGGGAUUAGAUACCCCUGUAGUCCUGGCAGUAAACGGUGUGCGCUUGGUGUGAGGGGUUUCGACCCCCCUUGUGCCGGAGCUAACGCGUUAAGCGCACCGCCUGGGGAGUACGGUCGCAAGACUAAAACUCAAAGAAAUUGACGGGGACCCGCACAAGCGGUGGAGUAUGUGGCUUAAUUCGAUGCAACGCGAAGAACCUUACCUGGGCUUGACAUGCAUUGCUAAGCUGUUGAAAGGCAGCGAGUCUUCGGACACCUUGCACAGGUGCUGCAUGGCCGUCGUCAGCUCGUGUCGUGAGAUGUUGGGUUAAGUCCCGCAACGAGCGCAACCCCUGUGAACAGUUGCCAGCACUUCGGGUGGGGACUCUGUUCAGACUGCCCAGAUCAACUGGGAGGAAGGUGGGGAUG
Molecule: ribosomal RNA, 857 nt
Filed under: uncultured Haloferula sp.
Lineage: Bacteria; Pseudomonadati; Verrucomicrobiota; Verrucomicrobiia; Verrucomicrobiales; Verrucomicrobiaceae
Description: bacterial SSU rRNA
Rfam family: Bacterial small subunit ribosomal RNA
Source: RNAcentral